GAUGAACGCUGGCGGCGUGCCUAAUACAUGCAAGUCGAGCGAACGGACGAGAAGCUUGCUUCUCUGAUGUUAGCGGCGGACGGGUGAGUAACACGUGGAUAACCUACCUAUAAGACUAGGAUAACUUCGGGAAACCGGAGCUAAUACCGGAUGAUAUUUUGAACCGCAUGGUUCAAAAGUGAAAGACGGUCUUGCUGUCACUUAUAGAUGGAUCCGCGCUGCAUUAGCUAGUUGGUAAGGUAACGGCUUACCAAGGCAACGAUGCAUAGCCGACCUGAGAGGGUGAUCGGCCAGACUGGAACUGAGACACGGUCCAGACUCCUACGGGAGGCAGCAGUAGGGAAUCUUCCGCAAUGGGCGAAAGCCUGACGGAGCAACGCCGCGUGAGUGAUGAAGGUCUUCGGAUCGUAAAACUCUGUUAUUAGGGAAGAACAUAUGUGUAAGUAACUGUGCACAUCUUGACGGUACCUAAUCAGAAAGCCACGGCUAACUACGUG
RNAcentral lists this ribosomal RNA (497 nucleotides) under uncultured bacterium. RNAcentral's name for it is "partial 16S ribosomal RNA". It matches the Rfam family "Bacterial small subunit ribosomal RNA", at positions 28 to 507 of the family's 1533-position model. The record is from RNAcentral.